GGGCUGCCCAGCCAGUUGGUCUCUGGCUGCCCUCCAGGAAGCAGAUGGGCAGUGACUGUGCCUCCCCCACAGCCCUGCCCAGAAUGGGUCCCACCCCAGUCAGCCUGGUCUGGCUGCCCCAGCAACGGGGAGGGGCCAGAGCUGUUGGCCCGGAAGAACGCAUGUCUGCUGGUCACCAAGGAUCACAGGACCUCGGGACUUAGAGAGGAGACGGCUGCCCGGGAGGGACUUCCCCUCCCUGCUGCCAAGUGGACGCCUGCAGAAAGUCCCUUGGAUUCAAGGCCCCUGUGGACUCUGCUCUGGCUUUCAAUGCACUGACCUCAGACCCUUCUCCAGCCCCAGCCCUGCGGUGCUGUGGGGAGCUGCUGAGUCCCCUUCUGUCUCAGGAUGAGGAGGUUACUCUGGGAAGGAGGGGCUUCACAAGCGCUGUAGACUCCCUGUGGGAAAUGAGGUCAGAGAGGCAGAGGGGAACAGGGCCACCUUGGCCAGCUCCUUGGCCAGGCCACCCCAGGCUAGAGCAAUAAGCAUUGAAGAUGCCUGGAUGCAACCAGCCCUUCUGUCACCGCCAGUAAUUUCCACCCCUGGACUGGCUUUAGACAGGGCCCCGACGCAUGGGCGCUGCUGUCCUUUGGUUUGUCACACCCUCCUAAGGUGGGAGGACUGAGGCCCAGGAGGCAUGGUAGGAGUCAGACCCAGGACAGGCGAAGUGGGCUCCCCACCCGCCUCCACACAGGUCUCUGGGGGCUCCUAGGGCGGGG
This 758-nucleotide long non-coding RNA is filed under the name Heterocephalus glaber (naked mole-rat). RNAcentral's name for it is "lncRNA (ENSHGLG00000044947.1)". Lineage: Eukaryota; Metazoa; Chordata; Mammalia; Rodentia; Bathyergidae. The record is from RNAcentral.